This 492-nucleotide ribosomal RNA is filed under the name uncultured bacterium. Its description in RNAcentral is "partial 16S ribosomal RNA". It matches the Rfam family "Bacterial small subunit ribosomal RNA", at positions 30 to 507 of the family's 1533-position model. The record is from RNAcentral.
AGUGAACGCUGGCGGUAGGCCUAACACAUGCAAGUCGAACGGCAGCACGGUAAGGGCUGGCUAUGAGGGGUGGAGGGGGGCGGACGGGAGCGGAAUACAUCGGAACCUGCGUUUUAGGGGGGGAAAACGUAGGGUAACAUACGCUAAGACCGCAGACGACAAACGGGUGAACGCAGGGGAUCUGCCGACCUGGGGGGACGGAAGGAGCCGAUGUCGGAUUAGGUAGUUGGCGGGGUAAAGGCCAACCAAGGCGACGAUCCGUAGCUGGUCUGAGAGGAUGAUCAGCCACACUGGAACUGAGACACGGCCCAGACUCCUACGGGAGGCAGCAGUGGGGAAUUUUGGACAAUGGGCGCAAGCCUGAUCCAGCCAUGCCGCGUGCGUGAUGAAGGCCUUCGGGUUGUAAACCCCUUUUGUUCGGAACGAAAAGCCGCUGGCUAAUACCGAGCUGUCAUGACGGUACCCAAAGAAUAAGCACCGGCUAACUACGUG